CCUACUGGUGGCAGCAGUGGGGAAUAUUGGACAAUGGGGGCAACCCUGAUCCAGCCAUGCCGCGUGUGUGAAGAAGGCCCUCGGGUUGUAAAGCACUUUCAGUGAGGAAGAACGCCUGGUGGUUAAUACCCAUCAGGAAAGACAUCACUCACAGAAGAAGCACCGGCUAACUCCGUGCCAGCAGCCGCGGUAAUACGGAGGGUGCGAGCGUUAAUCGGAAUUACUGGGCGUAAAGCGCGCGUAGGUGGCUUGAUAAGCCGGUUGUGAAAGCCACGGGCUCAACCUGGGAACGGCAUCCGGAACUGUCAAGCUAGAGUGCAGGAGAGGAAGGUAGAAUUCCCGGUGUAGCGGUGAAAUGCGUAGAGAUCGGGAGGAAUACCAGUGGCGAAGGCGGCCUUCUGGACUGACACUGACACUGAGGUGCGAAAGCGUGGGUAGCAAACAGGAUUAGAUACCCCUGUAGUC
Molecule: ribosomal RNA, 465 nt
Filed under: Vreelandella stevensii
Lineage: Bacteria; Pseudomonadati; Pseudomonadota; Gammaproteobacteria; Oceanospirillales; Halomonadaceae
Description: partial 16S ribosomal RNA
Rfam family: Bacterial small subunit ribosomal RNA
Source: RNAcentral